GAUGAACGCUAGCGGCAGGCCUAACACAUGCAAGUCGAGGGGCAGCACAGGUAGCAAUACUGGGUGGCGACCGGCGGAUGGGUGCGUAACGCGUAUGCAACCUACCAUUGAUUGGGGCAUAGCCCGAAGAAAUUCGGAUUAAUACUCCAUAAUAUUCAUCAAAGGCAUCUUUUAUGAAUUAAAGCUUUUGCGAUCAAUGAUGGGCAUGCGUGACAUUAGUUAGUUGGUGAGGUAACGGCUCACCAAAACGAUGAUGUCUAGGGGUUCUGAGAGGAUUAUCCCCCACACUGGUACUGAGACACGGACCAGACUCCUACGGGAGGCAGCAGUGAGGAAUAUUGGUCAAUGGACGCAAGUCUGAGCCAGCCAUGCCGCGUGCAGGAUGACGGCCCUAUGGGUUGUAAACUGCUUUUCCACGGGAAGAACCCUCCGACGUGUCGGAGACUGACGGUACCGUGGGAAUAAGCAUCGGCUAACUCCGUG
RNAcentral lists this ribosomal RNA (483 nucleotides) under uncultured bacterium. Its description in RNAcentral is "bacterial SSU rRNA". It matches the Rfam family "Bacterial small subunit ribosomal RNA", at positions 28 to 507 of the family's 1533-position model. The record is from RNAcentral.